GAUGAGAACGUAGUGAAAUGCGAUAAGUAAUGUGAAUUGCAGAAUUCAGUGAAUCAUCGAAUCUUUGAACGCACAUUGCGCCCCCUGGCAUUCCGGGGGGCAUGCCUGUUCGAGCGUCAUUACAACCCUCAAGCUCUGCUUGGUAUUGGGCUCUGCUGGGACCGGCAGGCCUUAAAAUCAGUGGCGGCGCCACUCGGCUUCAAGCGUAGUAAUUCUUCUCGCUUCGGAGACCCGGGUGCGUGCUAGCCAGCAACCCCCAACUUUCUUAGGUUGACCUCGGAUCAGGUAGGGAUACCCGCUGAACUUAAGCAUAUCAAUAAGCGGAGGA
This 328-nucleotide unclassified non-coding RNA is filed under the name soil metagenome. RNAcentral's name for it is "partial contains 5.8S ribosomal RNA, internal transcribed spacer 2, and large subunit ribosomal RNA". The stretch from base 5 to 119 matches the Rfam family "5.8S ribosomal RNA", at positions 40 to 154 of the family's 154-position model. The record is from RNAcentral.